RNAcentral lists this transfer RNA (77 nucleotides) under Euryarchaeota archaeon RBG_19FT_COMBO_56_21. RNAcentral describes it as "tRNA-Arg". The record is from RNAcentral. Lineage: Archaea; Methanobacteriati; Methanobacteriota.
GGGCCUGUAGUGUAGCUUGGAUAUCACUGAGGCCUCCGGAGCCUCAAACUCGGGUUCGAAUGGGACUUGCAGGUCCC